RNAcentral lists this ribosomal RNA (486 nucleotides) under uncultured bacterium. RNAcentral describes it as "partial 16S ribosomal RNA". It matches the Rfam family "Bacterial small subunit ribosomal RNA", at positions 28 to 507 of the family's 1533-position model. The record is from RNAcentral.
GACGAACGCUGGCGGCGUGCUUAACACAUGCAAGUCGAACGCUGAAGACCUGGCUUUUGUUGGGUUGGAUGAGUGGCGAACGGGUGAGUAACACGUGAGUAACCUGCCCUCUUCUUUGGGAUAACGCCCGGAAACGGGUGCUAAUACUGGAUAUUCACUGAUCUUCUCAUGGGGGUUGGUGGAAAGGUUUGUUCUGGUGGGGGAUGGGCUCGCGGCCUAUCAGCUUGUUGGUGGGGUGAUGGCCUACCAAGGCUUUGACGGGUAGCCGGCCUGAGAGGGUGACCGGUCACAUUGGGACUGAGAUACGGCCCAGACUCCUACGGGAGGCAGCAGUGGGGAAUAUUGCACAAUGGGCGAAAGCCUGAUGCAGCGACGCCGCGUGAGGGAUGGAGGCCUUCGGGUUGUAAACCUCUUUCGCUAAUGGUCAAGCCGCAACUGUGGGUUGUGGUGAGGGUAGUGGGUAAAGAAGCGCCGGCUAACUACGUG